ACCUUGCCUUUGUUCCCGAUGGCCGUGUGCCAGGUGCACGGGAGCAGUCCCUAAAGGGCCUUUGUUCCUGGCUGCUACGUGCCACGGUGUGCAGGAAUGGUCACCAUCGUAUCUUUGCCUGGGGAAGCCGACCUGCGACCUACAGGAAUGACAUUUAAAUUAGAAGUUGGAAAAAAUUCCAGUUUCUUCUUAUGCUUGCUACACAUGGGAUGUCACAGAAUCACGGAACAAGCUGAGUUGGAAGGGACCCACAAGGAUCAUCAAGUCCAAGUCCUGGCCCUGCCCAGGACAACCCAAGAGUCACACCAUGUGCUUGAGAGAAUUGUCCAAAUGCUUCUUGAACUCAGCCAGGCUAGUGCUGUGACCACGUCCCUGUGGAGCCUGUGCCAGGGGUGCCCAACUACCCUCUGGGUGACAAACCUUUCCCUAAUAUCCUACCUAAAUCUCCUCUGGUACAACUUCAGGCCAUUUUCUUAAGUCCUGUCACUGAUGACAAUUACAUACCAUUUCAUAACAAAGCAGAAAAGUUACACUUCUUAAAGAAAUUGAUGCAGAAUAUUAAUGUUCACCUUGUUAGUAUUUCUGUGUCUUUUGUAAGGUUGUACAGCUCUGUAAGCAAUUAAAACUUUUUAAAAUAUUUAAGACUGUUUGAUUGAUGGAACUGUAACUUAGGUAGCCUUCAUUUCUUUGGGAAAGGUACUCUUUGCUAAUGGAACUGCAGGUAUUUCCUAGAGAUGUGAGUUACAUUGCAGGAAAGAAACCUUAAGGCUAUCAAGUCCAUGGUCUUUGUGCUGCAAUAUACAAAUGGACCAUAUAGACAAGUCUUUUUAUUCUUAUUUGCCUUAUUGAGGUAGCCAUGCACCAACAUACUAGAGAGAUACCCUUUCUGCUGUUUUAAACAUGCAAUAUUUACCUCUUUUUUUACCUUGUUGUUUUUCUUCAGGAUCAUGUUGAUAGCUCACAGUCAUCUGUGGCUGACUGACAUUGCGAAGUCCAUUUCUUCUGUCAUCUCCUGCCGGUGACUUUACAUGUCCUAGCAAGCUGUCAUUGGAAGCAGAUGAGCUGCUGUGGAUUCAGACCUGUGCAAACAUGUUGGUUGUUGCUAUGUGCAUGCCUCGUUCCAUCCAGCAUCAGAGCUCACUGGUCUUACACCACAAAUUAACUUUAUAUCUGCAACCUAGAGGAGCCCUAAAUGAGACACCAUGAAAUAUCAUCUUGCAUCAAAAAUGGCGAUGAGCCUUCCUUGAAGAGGUGGACAGGGUGUGCUUCACUUACUCCUGAGAAGUGCUGUACCAUAAGUGACAAUGUUUACCAGGGGAAACCAGCCACCCAGCACUGGCAGUGUCCCAAACUGUUCCUAUUCCAGCCAGCCACACGCCUUACUUGUCACUGACGGAUUCACGGUGUGUGUGCAGUGGAUGACUAGUGGUGGCUUUGUGUUGCCAGGGCACGAUGCCACAGAGCUGCAUUUCCCCUCCGCAUGGCCUCCAUUUGCCUUUUUCCGCAUGAUUAUCACCCAUCUGUUGCCCUCUGCCAUGUGUGGGAGGGCAGCAGAUGGGCCAGAAAACUGGAACACAGGAAAGCAAGUUCUUCUGAGAGGCAAGGAGAGAAAGCGUAAGGUCAGAAAAGAAAUCCUUAGACUAGCUCCAGGAAAAGGAGCACUCCAUAGAGGGUACUUGCCAUCGAUGGAAACCCAGAAAGAGAAAUUAGGCAAAAAGGACCCCGGUCAGAAGGCAACAACAAGGAUUUAAUGCUUUUGCUUCUCACCUACAGAACCAUCAGUUUAAUUCAUUUUGUUGACCUACCUAUAAGGACCAUAGUAUUUAUUUACCUACAUAAUACGUUAUUGCAAACCUGUGGUUGUUAGAUGUGUGAACAAUACAACUAUUUCCAGGCUCCAGCUGUGGCACUUUAGCUUAAAGGCUACAUGAUGAGAAUAAGAAACCAAGAUGAUCUCUACAGAGCCAUCACAGUGCCCUCAGCAUUUGCAGCCUCUCUAAUAGAUUGCUAACCAGUCCUCUCAGGUAGGAGCCAAAAUGAAUAUUUUCUGUGAGGUGUCACUACCAAACAUGCUGGAAUUGGAUGCAGAGCCUCCAGGCGUAAGAGGUGAAGAAAGACAUGAAGCAAAUGUUGGCAGUCAGCUGGGCACGGGCCCCAUUUCUGGUUUGGGGUCACUACAGUUUGUUGACACAAGCCAUUUUUAUGUUGUUGAAAAAUUUAU
Long non-coding RNA from Passer domesticus (house sparrow), 2221 nucleotides. RefSeq lists it as uncharacterized. Lineage: Eukaryota; Metazoa; Chordata; Aves; Passeriformes; Passeridae. The transcript has 4 exons. The record is from RefSeq and is a predicted model, not a curated record.